RNAcentral lists this ribosomal RNA (242 nucleotides) under uncultured bacterium. RNAcentral's name for it is "partial 16S ribosomal RNA". It matches the Rfam family "Bacterial small subunit ribosomal RNA", at positions 1252 to 1500 of the family's 1533-position model. The record is from RNAcentral.
AGCCCGCGAGGGGGAGGCGAAUCCCAAAAAUAAACGUCCCAGUUCGGAUUGUAGUCUGCAACCCGACUACAUGAAGCUGGAAUCGCUAGUAAUCGCGGAUCAGAAUGCCGCGGUGAAUACGUUCCCGGGCCUUGUACACACCGCCCGUCAAGCCAUGGGAGCCGGGGGUGCCUGAAGUACGUGACCGCGAGGAGCGUCCUAGGGCAAAACUGGUGACUGGGGCUAAGUCGUAACAAGGUAGC